This is a long non-coding RNA of Pteropus alecto (black flying fox), 2578 nucleotides long. RefSeq lists it as uncharacterized. The record is from RefSeq and is a predicted model, not a curated record. The transcript is spliced from 7 exons. Lineage: Eukaryota; Metazoa; Chordata; Mammalia; Chiroptera; Pteropodidae.
CCAAGUCACACUGAGAAGUAAAUCGAGUCAGGGAGAAGGUACAGCAGCAGUAGCGGGUAUAGCCCACUGCUUCAGAAGAGUUGGUUGGGCAGAGAAGGGGAACUUACAGCUGGGAAGCUGGAGCAUAUGAAUUUAGUCUACUCAAGGCAUUCAUCUCCCUACAGUUAGAGAGUGGGGGAGGGAUGAAGAUUCUUUCCAGAUGUGGGAGAGUGCAAGCUGGAGCCUGUGCCAGGAUUCGGUCAUAUCUGAUGAGCUAGUGGGGAAAUCCCCCAGGAACCGGGGAGCCUGCCUCUCUUGAGCCAAGCAUGCUGGAAGAAACUUGGUUAAUGCCUAUCCUGUGGGGAUCGAACAAGACUUUCCAGGCAGGAGCCUGGAUGUGGCAAGUACAUGCUGAGACCAAAAAAUGAAAGAACAAAGGAGAAACUCAGUUAAUACUAAAACUUGAGGUUCUGACUAGAAGAGCCAGAGAAGACAGAUCUUUGCAGCUGGACAUCCGGAAGAGUUUUGACAUGAGAGCAAGAAAUACGUCUCCCCCUUGACAGGAACAAUGUGUGAUGUGAAAGACCUCAGGUGCUGUGCUGGGUUUUGACAGUUCAGAAGAAAGCACCUCCUGCCUGCUCUGUUCAAUCCCAGUCCAGAAAGGUGUCUGACAUAUGUUAAAUCCAAGAAUCAUGGCCACAAACAAGAUUGGAGAAUCCUUUGCUUCAUGAGAGCUCUCAUCAGUCAUGUCCAACACAAAGUACCGAGGCCAGGAGGCAAAGGACAGAGGUCCAGGUCCAGCUCAGCGACUCUCCAAGAGACCCCAGGAUCUUCAGCCUCUCUGCACCUCAGUGCCUUCCACUGCAACAUGGAGAUCAUAAUAUCUGCUCCUUCUGCCUCACUGGAUGGUUAUGAGAACAUGACAAGAAAAUAGAUGCGGAAGGUUUCUAAAAAUGUUAAAGACCAUGCUGAAGGAAUCAUUUUUAUUAUUACAGAUAUCUUUAUAGUUGAGCUGCUCAUAUUUGUGUUUAAUUUUUUAAAUCUUCCUUCCUCUACAUGCUCAUGAUCCAGGACCAAAGCCAGAUUGGCCUCCUACCCCAGCUAAAGGAAUAUCCAUCCUGGCAGAACUGCCAAGUGCCAGCCUCCUUGGAGCUUAAUCAUUUGCUUGGUCUGCAAACAUUCUGGUUACAGGUGGCGAGUGACAAGUUAAGUUACAGGAGAAUGGCUGGCAAAUAGUUACUCCCUGAUACAGUUCCUAUGCCUGAAGCCACUGAGAGUGGAAACAGUAGGGUCUUCUCCCCAGAGGCCUAUGCUUCUCUAUGGCAUCCCUAAGACAUUAAGUCUAGAAUAGGCCCCUGUUUUGUCUAGAAUAGGCCCAGGGAGGAAGCGACUAGUGGGGAGCAGCCAGCCAGUGGCCCACAUUGCCCAGGCAGGAACCUGGCCUCCUGACUUCCAGGCCAAUGCUCCCUCCACUCCUCACAUCUCUCUAUGGAUCGAUGGAUAGAUCGAUGGAUGGAGGCUGUAGUAGCUGGUGCUUUGCCUCUCUUUGUUUUCUGUUGCCAAGGUAACUAAGUGAACGCAAAACAGAAACAGCCCAUGAGGUCUUGCUGACUCUACCCAUGAGGCUGGAUGAUCCCAAUCUCAACCAGAGCGCCAUAGCCAGGCUGAUCCAUUAGGGCUGAAGCACGGGUUUGGAGUCAGGGCCCCCUGAGGAGAAAUGCCUGAGCUGUGUGGCAGUCCAUAUUCUCUGAACACUUUUCCUGGGCAGACAAGAUGUUGAAGCUGGGAUGAGAUGGGGGCCAGAAGACGAGAGAUUGAAAUUUCUUGAGUGUGCCGAUUGUCAGUAUGUGACAAAGCUGAAAUUGUCUGAGGCCUGGCUUCUGGCUGUCCGUCCUUGCUUACUAGGAGCAUCUCUAGAAUGAGAGAGCAAGGAGAGAGCCUCUAGCCUUCACCUCAGAAACCUGUGCCUCUAGCUUUCCUGCUUCCUUCCAAGACGGACCUAAUGUGAUACCAUGAGAAUGAGGGCAAGGUCAUCCGAUAAGCAGGCAGCCCCAUGUGGGCAGAAGAGAAGGGAAAUAGAAAAAAAGAGAGGUGUGCUGAGCAGACCAUCCCACAGAUGUCCACUGCAAAAUCUCCCUCCAACUUCAAGGCCCCACUCGAUGAUGACCUUCUCCAACGAUAGAAGAAAAUAACACUUUCCGCCUCUCCGCUCUCCCAGUUUUUAUCAUCUGUACCUCCCUUGUGCACUUAGCACCUGUUUACCAUGUAUUCACCAUUUGAAUAACUUUUAUUACACAAAUACUAAUAUAUGUACAUUGAAUGAAAAAUUAGAAACACAAACACCCACAAAGAAGAAAAUAAAAAUCAUUCUUAAAUCUGCCAUCUGGAAAAAAAAAAUCACUGUUAGCAUGUGGGGGUGUUAUCACUAUUUAGGUUCACGUCUCUUUUCUCUGCCUGCAUUCAGCUCUGCAAAAGCCAAGUCCACAUCUCGCCCCCUCUCUGUGUACCCCCACAGCCGCCACUAUGCUUCCAUUCCACGAGGACUCAGUUCCUGCAUUUUCAAUAAGUGGAUGACUAAACAAAGGAAUAAACAAAUGGA